Molecule: ribosomal RNA, 254 nt
Filed under: uncultured bacterium
Lineage: Bacteria
Description: partial 16S ribosomal RNA
Rfam family: Bacterial small subunit ribosomal RNA
Source: RNAcentral
UACGUAGGGUGCAAGCGUUGUCCGGAAUUACUGGGCGUAAAGCGCGCGCAGGCGGCCUUUUAAGUCUCGUGGUGAAAUGCCGGGGCUCAACCCCGUGCCCGCCGGAGAUACUGGGAGGCUGGAGACAUGUAGAGGCAAGCGGAAUUCCGGGUGUAGCGGUGGAAUGCGUAGAGAUCCGGAAGAACACCGGAGGCGAAGGCGGCUUGCUGGGCAUUGUCUGACGCUGAGGCGCGAAAGCGUGGGGAGCGAACAGG